RNAcentral lists this long non-coding RNA (1019 nucleotides) under Mus musculus (house mouse). Its description in RNAcentral is "RIKEN cDNA 2610316D01 gene". Lineage: Eukaryota; Metazoa; Chordata; Mammalia; Rodentia; Muridae. The record is from RNAcentral.
GUGUGAGUGUGAGAGCAAGAACAGCCCGCAGGUCCCGAGGCGCUUGCAGGGGACUCUGCCGCGGAAAGUUCCCAGUCCCCAGCCGCAGAAGCUUUUUAUUUUUGGUUGAUUCCUGCUGUCUACUCCUCUUGGAUGCCUUUGUGAAACUGCUUCUAUCUGAGAAGGAGGAGUUGCCAUUUAGCAAGUAGUAGGUGGUACCGUGUGUGGCAGAGUCCGAUGUGUUACACCACGAGGACAUUCAUCUUUGCAAUUGGUGAAGUCCUUCUACCUAGUUCCCCUUCCUUGUGCACAGAAGAGGACUGGAAAACUCCUCACAGGACUGCAUACUGCUAUCUCUGAGAAACCAGAAAGAAGAAAGUACCUCUUCCUUCCAAGCUUCUACCUAAGAGUAUACUGGAAGGUUUACCUAGAGCAACAAGACAACGAAAUGGAUUGUCCUUCUCACGCUAGUCCACACACAAUCCUCAUCAUUUUGAUAAGAUAGCAUGAAGUCUCUUAUCGCUUGUGGAUCCAGCACUUUGGUUCAGCGUUUCUAUUCCUGCACAAACAUCAUGACCAAGAAGCAAGUUGGAGAGGAAAGAGUUUAUUCAGCUUGCACUUUCAUACUGCUGUUCAUCACCAAGGAAGUCAGGACUGGAACUCAAGCAGGUUCAUCUGCCCAUAAUUCUCUAAGAUUUGGAGCUGUUGAGGAGUGGCUCAUAGUAGACACUGAACCAUCAGCCAACAGCAUUUGUUGUCCUGGAUGUCUGUGCCAACCUUUCGAGUCACACUGGGGUCUAAAGACACACCUGGAAUAAAAAUCAGAAUGCUUAAGAAACUUAAUAUGAUCUGCGGGAGAAUACAUGAGGUUUUUGUUUCAUACCACAGUCUGAUGACAGCAUGGAUUUCAACUGAUGAUGUUCACCUUUGCCUCUUGGGUCAAUAUGUGAGCUCAGAGAUUUCCCUGCUUUUGUUCUGUCAUUAUGGAUUCUAAACUUCUGAAACUACAUACUCAAUUAAAUGUUUUCUUUUAUAAAUUA